RNAcentral lists this ribosomal RNA (300 nucleotides) under uncultured Coxiellaceae bacterium. RNAcentral describes it as "bacterial SSU rRNA". It matches the Rfam family "Bacterial small subunit ribosomal RNA", at positions 114 to 418 of the family's 1533-position model. The record is from RNAcentral. Lineage: Bacteria; Pseudomonadati; Pseudomonadota; Gammaproteobacteria; Legionellales; Coxiellaceae.
UACGUAGGAAUAUGUCUUUGAGAGGGGGAUAACACGGGGAAACUCGUGCUAAUACCGCAUAACCUUGAGAGAGCAAAGUGUGGGACCGAAAGGCACAUGCUUGAAGAGUAGCUUACGUCGGAUUAGCUAGUUGGUAGGGUAAAAGCCUACCAAGGCGAUGAUCCGUAGCUGGUCUGAGAGGACGAUCAGCCACACUGGGACUGAGACACGGCCCAGACUCCUACGGGAGGCAGCAGUGGGGAAUUUUGGACGAUGGGGGCAACCCUGAUCCAGCAAUGCCGCGUGUGUGAAGAAGGCCUG